Molecule: ribosomal RNA, 258 nt
Filed under: uncultured soil bacterium
Lineage: Bacteria
Description: partial 16S ribosomal RNA
Rfam family: Bacterial small subunit ribosomal RNA
Source: RNAcentral
AGGACGAACGCUGGCGGCGUGCUUAACACAUGCAAGUCAAGGGGGCCCGCAAGGGCAACCGGCGAACGGGUGCGUAACACGUGAGCGACCUACCCUGGUGUGGGGGAUAGCCGGCCCAACGGCCGGGUAAUACCGCAUACGCUCUUUGAGGGCAUCCCUUGGAGACCAAAGCCGUAGGGGCAACUCACGGCGCAUUGGGAGGGGCUCGCGGCCUAUCAGCUAGUGCGAGGUAACGGCUCACCAAGGCGACGACGGGUA